This 3300-nucleotide long non-coding RNA is filed under the name Lathyrus oleraceus (garden pea). Its description in RNAcentral is "Pisum sativum (pea) long non-coding RNA (PSAT_LNC003535)". Lineage: Eukaryota; Viridiplantae; Streptophyta; Magnoliopsida; Fabales; Fabaceae. The record is from RNAcentral.
UAAUUUCUAGAAUCAAAGUGUAUUAUCAUUUUUUUAUUUUCUCAAAGUAUUUUUCUUUUCAAGCAAAAUAAAAGGUGUACUAAAAAAAAUGUAAAAAAAACAAACUAAAAUAUAUUAAAAUGGAUUAAACUAAAAUGUAUUAAAAUAAAAAACAAUUAGAAAUGACCAAAUUAAUUAAAAAAGAAAACCAAAGUGGGGUGUAAGGGCCAGCAAGGGCGUGAAGCAAGUAGUGUGGGCUUGGAUCAGAAAGCCCAAGGCGUCUUUAUCAAUGUAUCAAUUCAUAGGGUGUGUGUGAAGCUAUUCUAGGGUGCACACAACAAAAGUAAUGGGCCAAGAGCUUUGAGCCCACAAUACAUGAAACCAAUAUGGAAGAAGGGGAUCAGAUGAACAUUUUAUGUUUCUCAUCCAUUUCACGUUCAUGAGCCUUAACCUCACAUGAGCCAAAACCUCGUCGCGUAGGAAAUCGCCUCUGGCGGUGUAGGUCCAAUCACCUUCAAACCUAUCUCAUUCUACUCGUUCAUACUCCCUCUCUCACAGUCCCAUGCUAAUUUUCUUCAAUUCCUAACUGUGAUUCCAAAUUGAACAGAAACCCUUAUGAACCCUAAAAAUGAAAUAAAAAAUUAAAUGGCGAAGGCGAGCUAAACGGAGUCCAAAACUUAGAGUUUUGGCUCCUUAGGGAGUAAGCUCUAUCUCAGCAAUUGUUUUAGCGUGAAUCAUAGAAGGAAUGAGGGAGAGCUUACCUGGCGAAGCAACUCUGACAGUUCUUCAAGUGUGGGUGUUGAGAACAAGAGGUCCAUAGGUCUUCUUCCUCUUUAAGUGAUUCUUCAUUAUGUUUUUUGGAUUUAUGUGUGAAAUUCUUCUCUUUUUCUACUCUUAGUCCAUAGGAGUUGCUUCCUUUUGCUUUGUGUUGUUGUGGUUGCCCUAUUCUUAAGAGAAAGUAGAGUAUGGAGAGGUUGAAGAGAAUUCAGGGAGAAUUCUCAGAGAAUGGGAGAGCGUUUAGAGAGUGGAUUGAGAGUAAUCUUGCAGAGAUAGAAUUGAGAGUAGUAAAGCGUGGUGAUUGUGAUCUCUUCUUUGAUUGUUUGAAGAGAUGAAUUGAUUUAUAAGAGUUUGGAUGUAACUAACUUGGGCAAGUUCGGGAAAUUCUAUUAACAUGGUCAGGGCAGGGUUAAGUUAAAGUUCAAGGAGGAGGAAAGUUAGUUAGGAAUUUAAUUCUGUUAAAAUUAUGUUAGGAACUGUUAAUUGAAAUUAGUUAGUGACUUUGAGUUGCAGUUAGUUAUCUCAAUUUGAAUUUUAGUUGAAUUUGAAUGUUAGUAUGAGUAUUGGUGAUGCGUUAAUUAUUAUUUAUGGAUGGAAGGUUGUUAUCUCUAUUGUUAAUUCCUUAUGUAAUUAACAAGAAGAAAACUAGUGAACUAAAGGGAUUAGUUAGAUUUUGUUGCUCUAAACUAUUGAUGUUAAACUGUUAGUAUGAAUUAGCUCGUAAAUAUUUGAGUGAUGAUGUUAGUAUGUGUUGCACUAACAGUUAGUGAAUGGGAAAUGUUAGCUAGGGAAACUUGAAUUAGGUUUAGUUAGUUAUGAAUCAGUCAGUGAAUUGCAGUUGGUUAGUAAGUUAGUUGUGUUGGAAAAUUGGAAGUUAGUGUAAUAUUGAAGUUAGUUAGUUAGAUUAUGGAAUGGUGAAGAAGGUUAGUUAGUGAGAAUGGAACUGCGAACUAGGUUAGUUAGUUACAACUUUCACUUUCAGUUAGAUGUUGAACUGUUAUUGAAUUAGUGUUAUAAUGAAUUGAUCAUGUUAAAAGAAUGGAAUUAUUAUGCUAAACUAGUUUUGAAAUCUUUGGAUGCAUUGUUUUAUAAGGUCUUGGUUUUUCUCAUUGCGAUGUGGUUUUGCAUGAUUAUUGAGGUCAAGACUUGACAUUUGUUAGUGGGGCAUGGAACAUAACAUUCAUGUCUCAAGGUUCUUUCGUGGGAUACUCAGAAGCUUUAAAGUAACACAAAGAUAUAUGAUGACUUGUAAAUGAAGAAAGAUGUGCUUAGUAUUUAUAAGUAGUGGUUGACUUUGGUAAACUGUUUGACUAAAAAGUCAAUGAUGACAGUUCGUCAUUGCAUAUAUUUAGUCGAAGAAUUAUAGCAAAUAUGAAGAAGAAUUACCCAGGAGUGAGGGGAAAAUUCUAAGUGUGCAAAUUGUGGACUUAGUGAAAAUUUAAGUGAAAAAGGAGCAAAAGCGCCCAACCACUGGAAUAAUUACGUGCAACAUCGCGCACACAAUAAGGCAUUUAAAGUUGCAUCACACGCGCGAUGAUCACUUUUAUUGGCUUUUUCUGACACGUUCUGGUCCAUUCCAACACCAUUAAAAGAUGAUUUUCUGCACUUUCACAAGAGUUUUGAUUUUGGGAGAUUGAAGCACGAUUUUGAGAGCAAAAAUGGUGAUUUUUAGAGCAUUUUAAGCCAUUGGAGACCAUCACUUUAAGGGACUUCUUAUGUUAUUUUCUUCUAUCAAUUGUGGUAUUGUUAAUUGCAAUAUGAGUAGCUAAGCUCCUCUAAGUUAGGUUGUGUUAUGAUGAACUUAUUUCUAUAUUGUUGGAUUCUAUGUUGAUUUGACCAUUAUAUGAACCUAUUGGUCUAUAAUCUUAUUAAGUUGCUUCUUGUUCAUAAUGUUUUUUAUGUGAGAUACUAUUUUAAUAUAAUUUUGGGCACAUAGGGAAUACUGACCAUUAGUCUAUGUGUUGGACCUAAGGUAAUUAUUGUACUUACGCUGGUUGAAUAGGGAUAUGUGACCCCGAGUAGCGGCAUAGAGAAUUAACAUUCUAUACAUCGCUUAACCCUGCUUACGCUAGUGGACUAGGGAUAGAAAGCUCUGAGUAGUGGUUAGUGAGUUAUUUCGUGAGGGAUCGACUAUAACGAUUUUGUUAAUUCGCUGUGUGAUUAUAGUGACUAGACCAUUCAUACAGGGCAUCAAACAUCAACAAUAUAGGAAUAUGGGAUUCUAGAGCACAACCCGACUGCUUUCGUGAUAUUGUUUACUUGUUUAUUUACUUUUCACACUAAAAGUCGAAACCCCCUACUAGUUUUUAUACAUUGCACACAAUUUGUCUUGCUUGGAGGCAGUCCUUGUGGAUUUGGUUUUUUUAUUACUUCAUCAUUAUCAAUACACUUGUGUCAUACCCUUAAAUUUACCCCACCCCCUCAUCACCUUCUUGAACCCUAAUGCAUUAUCAUACAUCCCAUACAUGUUAUCUCAUAUGCAUUUAUACUUAAUGAUCCAAUUAACCACAAACUCAAGGCAUGAGAUUCAUCUGUGAAACUUCA